UACGUAGGGGGCGAGCGUUAAUCGGAAUUACUGGGCGUAAAGCGUGCGCAGGCGGCUUUGCAAGACAGAUGUGAAAUCCCCGGGCUCAACCUGGGAACUGCAUUGGUGACUGCAAGGCUAGAGUACGGCAGAGGGGGAUGGAAUUCCGCGUGUAGCAGUGAAAUGCGUAGAUAUGCGGAGGAACACCAAUGGCGAAGGCAAUCCCCUGGGCCUGUACUGACGCUCAUGCACGAAAGCGUGGGGAGCAAACAGG
RNAcentral lists this ribosomal RNA (253 nucleotides) under uncultured bacterium. RNAcentral's name for it is "partial 16S ribosomal RNA". It matches the Rfam family "Bacterial small subunit ribosomal RNA", at positions 524 to 776 of the family's 1533-position model. The record is from RNAcentral.